This 2392-nucleotide unclassified non-coding RNA is filed under the name Hevea brasiliensis (rubber tree). Lineage: Eukaryota; Viridiplantae; Streptophyta; Magnoliopsida; Malpighiales; Euphorbiaceae. The record is from RNAcentral.
GUGCAAUGAUAAAAUAAAAAUACAAGCUCUAAAAUAGAAAUACAAGAUCUUCAAAUCAUCCCAACUCAUCAAAUUAGCAGUUUGAAUGGUUAAGAAAUCAUCAUUUUACAACUUAAAACCACAAUUUUUCAAGAACGUUCUGCCCAAAUAAAGAAACCACAUCAUGUCUUAUGAAACCAUGGAAUCCUUGAUCCAAACAGGGUAUAACUUUCAGCGACAAACUAUUAGGCUGGUUUGAUUUGCAGUUAGAAAUUGUAUGGUGGGAGUCUGCAAGUCUGUCCAUAUUUCUUCAGUUUGUGAUUUCCAUUUGCAGAAACUGUAAGUACUAUAGAAGUUUGAAACAAUAACAAAGGGGUUCUUAGAUUAUGACAGGAACUCUUCUGCGAUGAUAAAUUUUCGAUAAUCCUUGAAAUUCGUCAAAAAGCAUAGCAGAUGAGUGCCUAGUCAAAUGGGUUACUUUGCAACAGCUGACAUAUUUGACCACAAAUACCCCGCAGAAAAAGCUUCAGCUGCUCCCUUCUGUCCCUGAUGGUGGCGACUGAGUAAAGUUGCCAACAGAGAACGCACAUAUAGGCUGAGGAAAAGCCAGGAGACAAGGGAUGCUGUGCCCAUAACAAAUUACAUUGCUUGGACACUGCAUUGGCAGGCUUGUAAACACCAGUUGCCCAAAUGCAGGUGCAAAAGGUAUACACAAUGUGUGUGACUGAGGGGUAAUAACAUGCACGGAUGAAAUACUCAGUCCUGCCACUGCAUUUGUCAGCUGGAAAGAGGGUGCUACGAAUUGAGGUUGUAGGAGUACUUGGAUAUUUGGUACAUUCAGGGAAGAUAAUGUGCUGGUAGGACAUGAUGUUGUGUGUACAAAUCGCGUGGUGUGAUUCUGGGACGAUAAUGAGCCAGACGGUAAUGAGCAGAACAAAGAAGAAGAUGCUGGUAAUGGACGAGAGUGAAAUGUAGAUGUUGCUCCAAAGCUUGUAGGGUUGCAGGUAGAAACACCAAAUGUAAACCCACAGGCAGAUUGAUCAUUUCCAUAGCGGUCUGCAAGUCAAAGCAUUUAUUUAAGAAAGCAAUCAUUAUAAUACAGCUUGUAAAACCCUUACAAUCCAAGAAUGUAUUCAUAUAUCAUGAAGUAUUGAGAAACAAAUUUUGCCAAUUGCAAUUGAAAAAUACUACGAAGAUCGAAGCCUUAUCAGAGUGUUCCCUAGUUGACAGAAAGGCAGAGUCAACUAGUGAUGAAGCAUACCUUUAUGCGGAGUCAACUAGCUGUAAAGCAUACCUUUAUGCACCAAUUGGUAGUCCUCCCAUCUUAAUUCUUCUAAACUUUUGUCUUUGUAGACAGGCAUGGCUGUUAUAGACAUAAGCUUAUCACCAACAGGAUUGUCGGUAAACUCUUCUUCUGUUUCAGUGUAAGCUGCUAUUCUAGUUCCUCUAUGUUUUCCAGCAAAAAUUGAAGGUCCAAAACCAUUCUGUCCAAAUACUCCUGUCAUUGUCUGGGUCCCAAACGGGAACCUUUGCUUGUCAGAACCAUCUGGAGCAGGUCCAAAUAUGUUGGAGCUACCCAGUGUAGAAGCAGAUAGACUAGAACCCCCAAAACUUGUUGAAGUGGCAAUUGGAGUGGCAAAUGAAGAGCCAAAAGGAAGGGUAUUUGAAUUAGUAGAUCCAGAUGCAAUGGCAUUGAAGCCGCCAAAUGCUGCAGCACUUGAUGCACUGAAACCUGUAGCACUUGGACAACCCAAUGCUGGAGCCCCAAAAGCUGAUACUGAAGUAGCCAGAGAGAGGGCAGGAAUCGGGCUACAAGUAAACACUGGAGUGGUUGAGGCAGCAAAUGUUGGGGCGCUUGAUGCUCCAAAAGUAGACGUAGAAGUAGUUUGACAUAGGCCAGAAGUUGAGCUAAAAUUAAAUGCUGGAGUACUUGAUGAAACAAAAACAGGAACAUUUGAUGUGUUAAACCCUGGAGCACUUGAGGCACCAAAAGCAGAUGCAGAAGCAGAAUGACUGAAGGCAGGAAUUAAGCCAAAAGUGAGUGCUGGAGUGCUUGAUACACCAAAUCCUGGAGUAGUUGAGGCUCCAAGAGUAGACUGACAGAGGGCAAGAGUUGAGCUUAAAGUAAAUGCGGGAAUACUCGAUGAUCCAAUCGAUGGAGCACUUGAUGCACCAAACCCUGAAGCACGUGAUCCAUCAGAUCCUGGAAAAGUUGAGGCUCCAACGGUAGACUGACAGAGGGCGGUAUUUGAGCUUAAAGCGUAUACAGGAGUACUUGCUGAACCAAACAUUGGAGCACUUGAUGCACCAAACCGUGAAGUACUUGGUCCACCAAAUGCUGAAGAACUUGAGACCCCAAAAGCAGAUGCCGAAGUAGACUGAGAGAGAGCAGGAGUUGAGCUAAAAGUAAAUG